UAAUAAUAAUAAUAAUAAUUCACCAUCAAAGUGCCAUAAUUAAUCUUUCAUACUUCAGGUACUUCCCUUGUUUGUGAACACUUGUUCUCCAAAAAUUCCAUCAUCUUCCAUCUGAUCGAAGGCGCUAGUUGUUAGAUUUUCUUUGCUAAUAAAACUUGAUCAGUAGCAGCCACAUAUAAAUGACAAUGCUCCUUCAUCAUCUUCAAAAGGUCUUCUACUGCUUCAAUGUCUCCCUGACCUUUCAAAUACUCGAGACAUGUAGACAAAGUAUCGAGGUUGGGCAUCCAUCCAUUUUUACUUGUUGAUAUUGCUUUCUUUAUUACUUCUACUGCUUUCUUCAUCUGCUUGACCACAAGAUAUCCAGCUGCCAAAUGAUCCCAUGAGGUCGCAUCAGGCUCAUCCCACUCUCUAUAAUCUUGUUUAUGCAUGCUUUGGCCUUUUCCCAAAGACCUCUUUUGGAACAAACACCGAUCAUUAUAUUAGCAAUGCGAAUAUCAAACAGCCUCUUCCAAGAAUCCCACCCCUCCCAGAUCCUUUCAGCACCAUCCAUAUCAUCCAACUUCAACAAUGAACUAAUCAUAGAUAUAUAGCCUGAAUUGAAAAGCCUCCUAUUAUUCUUAUGCAAAUUCCAAACACAAUAGAAAUCAUCUUUAUUCCCAGCAGCAGCAUAUAAAGUGAGGAGAAUUUCCAAGUUUAACCAUUUUGAGUUAUCCUUAAUUAAUUGCUCUUAUCUCUUCAACAUCAUUAAAGCCUUUUCAAUUAGACCAGCUUUCAAACAACCAUUUUGCUGCUGUAAAAUAAGAAUGGGAGUCCAUGCUGAUAAAAGAAUUACCUUCCAUCUUCAUUAGAAGUUUCUCCAUUCCCUCAAUGUCAGAAGAUGCUGCAUAAGCAUUCAACCUGAUGUUAAAUGUGAAAAUGUCACAACUGAUGCCCUUUUCUUCCAUCUCUUGCAUUAGAAUGUCUAAUCUCUCAUAUUUACCCAUCUGAGAAUAAAGAUUGAACAUUACAUUGUAAGACAGUGGAGUUUUUACAAACUGCAACUCCUCCAUCUUUUGCAUGGUGCCCUCUGCCUUUUCUAAACAUUUCUUGUGUGCAUAGCAGUUUAAAAGAGAACCAUAAACCUGGUGACCUCUUGAAGUAUCAGGGAUGCUGUUAAAAUAUCUCUCUGCUUCAUCUAAACCAUAAACUUUGGAGAUCAAAUCCAACUGAGUUGCAACAUCUCCAGGUGACAGGUUAGAGUCACUUUGGUUACUCAUCCAUUGUGAUAUCUAACAUAAAAAUGAGACAACCUCCAGAGGUUUGGCACAACUAUUACGAAGUCAAAACUUCCCCAUAAAUUGCUUCACAAAUAGAAUUCAGCCAACUUUUAUAAUGAUAAACACAAGAUCCAAAAGUAUCAAUUAAGCAGUUUAUUAUAUAAAAGAGGAAACAGUGCCGUAAAAAAAUAGUUGCAAAUACCACUAGAUCAAAUGCUAAACUUUCUCAUACAAUUCAACUAAAACAUCAGUUCCUAAUCUUAACUAGUUGGGUCAGCAACACGAGUCCUUUGUCUCUGUUUCUUUUGUUCAAGACAAAAUUCCUGGGAAGUUAAAACAAAACUAAAUCAUAUUUCACCACUUACCCACAGUAGAGGGUGUUUGGAUUGACAACUCAGUAUUAAUUUUUGACUUAAUCAAUUUGAAAAUAAAUAGAGAUAGUUCUUUGGUUAACAGGUAUUAAUAGGUAUUUAAAAAUAACUUAAUUUACCAAAAUAAUAAAAAAAAUGUUAUGCAAUAUUUUUAAAUUGUUGAUAGUUUAUUAAAAAGAGAAUAAUAUUAGUAUUCUAAAAAUUUAUUAAAAUAAUAUAAUCUUUUACUUAAUAAAAAGUAAUAAAUAGAUUAUCAGAAUUAAGAUACUUUACUCAUAACUUCUAAUUUAUUUUGAAUAAUUUUUUUAAUAAAAUAAAACAGUUUUUCAUAUAUGAUCAAACUUACUUACAAGUCAAUUAAAACGCCCGAUGGACUGUUAUGGAUAAGUUUGGCAUUGCUGUUGAGAAAACAAAAAAUAUUAGUUGAAGAUAAUUAAAAACUAAUUUAAAGUUAAAUUUAAAAGCAGUCUUGCGCUUCUAAACUCAAUGCCAGACCCUAUAUUGUUCUAAGCCUCAAUCUAUCAAUCCUUUCACACAAAUUUAAACAAUUCCACAUGCAAAUAAAUCCCAAUUAAACCCAAAAUGUCAAAAUAUUAAGCACGAUUUCAUCAACAAAUGGGUAAGUGGGUAGACAUAAAAAAGAUAGAUAAAUGAGAGACCUGAAGGGCGUGCUUGAAGCGGCGGAACUUGCGAAGCUUCUUGAUGAAUUGGUGCAGCUCAAAUUGUUUAACGUCUUUGCCUUCUUCAAGCCAUUUCUCGAUAACCGGAACAAUCGAGACCGCUUGAUUUCCUGAGACGAAGAGUAAGAUGAAGUUGUUAGAGCAUCAGUGGAAAACAACUGCACAUGUAGCACAAUGCCACAGGUUUGGAUUUGAUCGCAGAAGCAACUUCAUAGUGGCGAAGAAAGAACAUAAAAUGGAAGCAGCAAGAGGGUGAAAGAGGAGCUAGAAGUUCAACAAAGGUUCAA
RNAcentral lists this unclassified non-coding RNA (2594 nucleotides) under Hevea brasiliensis (rubber tree). The record is from RNAcentral. Lineage: Eukaryota; Viridiplantae; Streptophyta; Magnoliopsida; Malpighiales; Euphorbiaceae.